ACCCCCGUGCUCAGGGUGAGGGUUAGAUGAUCCAUAAUGGGCUGCUCCGUCUUCAAGGUGAGGGUUAGAUGAUCCAUAAUGGGCUGCUCCGACUUCAUGGUGAGGGUUAGAUGAUCCAUAUAAGGUGAGGGUUAGAUGAUCCAUAAUAAGGUCCUUCUUCAAGGUGAGGGUUAGAUGAUCCAUAAUAAGGUCGUUCUUCAAGGGGAGGGUUAGAUGAUCCAUAUAAGGGGAGGGUUAGAUGAUCCAUAUAAGGUGAGGGUUAGAUGAUCCAUAAUAAGGUCCUUCUUCAAGGGGAGGGUUAGAUUAUCCAUAAUGGGCUGCUCCGUCUUCAAGGUGAGGGUUAGAUGAUCCAUAAUAAGGCGGAGCUACUGAGGGGAUCGGUGCUGAUUGGACGAGGGUCUGAAGGAGGAGCACGGAUCAAUAUAAGCGAUGAUGCAGAAUGUGGUGCUCAGAGCUGACCUGAGUCUGUGUGU
Gadus macrocephalus (Pacific cod) is the source of this 473-nucleotide long non-coding RNA. RefSeq lists it as uncharacterized. The transcript has 3 exons. The record is from RefSeq and is a predicted model, not a curated record. NCBI's taxonomy places the organism in Eukaryota, Metazoa, Chordata, Actinopteri, Gadiformes, Gadidae.